UAAAUCAGUUAUGGUUCACUAGAUCGUACAGUUUACACGGAUAACUGUGGUAAUUCUAGAGCUAAUACGUGCAACCAGCUUACUCCCUUGUGGAGUAAGCGCAGUUAUUAGAACAAAACCAAUCCGGCCUUCGGGUCGGUAAAAUUGGUGACUCUGAAUAACCGAAGCGGAGCGCAUGGUCUCGUACCGGCGCCAGAUCUUUCAAGUGUCUGACUUAUCAGCUUGUUGUUAGGUUAUGUUCCUAACAAGGCUUCAACGGGUAACGGGGUAUCAGGGUCCGAUACCGGAGAGGGAGCCUGAGAAACGGCUACCACAUCCAAGGAAGGCAGCAGGCGCGCAAAUUACCCACUCCCGGCACGGGGAGGUAGUGACGAAAAAUAACGAUGCGAGAGCUCUAAGCUCCUCGUAAUCGGAAUGGGUACACUUUAAAUCCUUUAACGAGGAUCUAUUGGAGGGCAAGUCUGGUGCCAGCAGCCGCGGUAAUUCCAGCUCCAAUAGCGUAUAUUAAAGUUGCUGCGGUUAAAAAGCUCGUAGUUGGAUCUGGGUAGCUGGAUAGAUGGUAUGCUUAACUGUGUUACUGUCUGUUCGGCGCCACAAGCCGGUAUGUCUUGCAUGCUCUUCACUGGGUGUGCUUGGCGACCGGAACGUUUACUUUGAAAAAAUUAGAGUGCUCAAAGCAGGCGUACGGCCUUGCAUAAUGGUGCAUGGAAUAAUGGAAUAGGACCUCGGUUCUAUUUUGUUGGUUUUCGGAACUCGAGGUAAUGAUUAAUAGGAACAGACGGGGGCAUUCGUAUUGCGGCGUUAGAGGUGAAAUUCU
RNAcentral lists this ribosomal RNA (817 nucleotides) under Crenubiotus ruhesteini. RNAcentral describes it as "SSU rRNA". It matches the Rfam family "Eukaryotic small subunit ribosomal RNA", at positions 102 to 920 of the family's 1831-position model. The record is from RNAcentral. Lineage: Eukaryota; Metazoa; Tardigrada; Eutardigrada; Parachela; Adorybiotidae.